RNAcentral lists this ribosomal RNA (400 nucleotides) under uncultured bacterium. RNAcentral's name for it is "bacterial SSU rRNA". It matches the Rfam family "Bacterial small subunit ribosomal RNA", at positions 356 to 773 of the family's 1533-position model. The record is from RNAcentral.
AAGGAAUAUUGGACAAUGGGCGCAAGCCUGAUCUAGCCAUGCCGCGUGAGCGAUGAAGGCCUUAGGGUUGUAAAGCUCUUUCAGUGGGGAAGACAAUGACUGUACCCACAGAAGAAGCCCCGGCUAACUCCGUGCCAGCAGCCGCGGUAAUACGGAGGGGGCUAGCGUUGUUCGGAAUUACUGGGCGUAAAGCGCACGUAGGCGGACCGGAAAGUCAGAGGUGAAAUCCCAGGGCUCAACCUUGGAACUGCCUUUGAAACUCCUGGUCUUGAGGUCGAGAGAGGUGAGUGGAAUUCCGAGUGUAGAGGUGAAAUUCGUAGAUAUUCGGAGGAACACCAGUGGCGAAGGCGGCUCACUGGCUCGAUACUGACGCUGAGGUGCGAAAGCGUGGGGAGCAAAC